Non-coding RNA from Callithrix jacchus (white-tufted-ear marmoset), 743 nucleotides. Lineage: Eukaryota; Metazoa; Chordata; Mammalia; Primates; Cebidae. The record is from RefSeq and is a predicted model, not a curated record.
AUGGGGUCAACCACCAUCCUUGCCCUCCUCCUGGCUGUUCUCCAAGGUGUCUGUGCCGAGGUGCAGCUGGUGCAGUCUGGAGCAGAGGUCAAAAGGCCCGGGGAGUCGCUGAAGAUCUCCUGUAGGGCUUCUGGAUACAGCUUUAACAGCUACUGGAUCAGCUGGGUGCGACAGAUGCCCGGGAAAGGCCUGGAGUGGAUGGGGAGGAUCUAUCCUGAGAAACAGUGGGUGUGUGUGGCAGUUACUGACCAGGAUGUCUCUGUGUUUGCAGGUGUCCAGUGUGAGGUGCAGCUGGUGGAGUCUGGGGGAGGCUUGGUUCAGCCUGGGGGGUCUCUGAGACUCUCCUCUGCAGCUUCUGGAUUCACGUUCAGUGACUACAGGAUGUACCGGGUCCGCCAGGCUCCGAGUAAGGGGCUGGAGUGGGUGGCCAACAUAAAGUAUGAUGGAGGUGAAAAAUACUACGCAGACUCCGUGAAGGGCCGAUUCACCAUCUCCAGAGACAACACCAAGAACUCUCUGUAUCUGCAGAUGAACAGCCUGAGAGCCGAGGACACGGCCGUGUAUUACUGUGCGGGACACAGUGAGCGGAAGUCAGUGUGAGCCCGGACACAAACCUCCUGCAGGGGCGCCUAGAACCAGCAGGGGGCGGUCGGGAUACACAGAGGACGGGGCAGCCCAGGGCAGGUGCAGGUGCAGGUCAAGGGCUGCUCCCCUUCAGGGCCUGUGGCUUCCUCUGCAUCUAA